This 737-nucleotide long non-coding RNA is filed under the name Sus scrofa (pig). RNAcentral describes it as "lncRNA (ENSSSCG00030071382.1)". Lineage: Eukaryota; Metazoa; Chordata; Mammalia; Artiodactyla; Suidae. The record is from RNAcentral.
CGCCAUGGCAGGGCCUCGUCCAUCCAGCCUGGGCCGCGCUGGCCGGAGCAGACCGCAAGCCGCCCGCUGGGAGCCCAGCCAAGAGCGGUGUUUUUCCAGGUCCGCGCAGGGCCACGGGAACCCGCGUGUUUGUUUGGUGGGAAUGGAUUCCUGGAAAACUAGACGGAAGGCUCUCCCAGCUGCUGACUCCGCUCUGUUGAUGGAUACCAUCCAGUGUCACCACAGGGGCUUCCAGUGCCUGGAAUUUUGGUGGGAGGAGAGCAACUUCAGGAAUGAAGGAGGAGGUAACAGCAGCAGAGAUUCAAGGCAGAACUUGGGGAGACGCCCAUCAAAGCAGGUGAGGAUGGGGAAAAAGGACCGAGGGUGGGCCCAUCGGUCCCUUCCAGAACUCCCACUGGACUGUCAAACGGGGUUGAGCGGACAGCUGAGCCCUGGAGCCUGGGGACGAGAUGUUCCAUCCUCUGAGCAGACUGAGGCCGGAUGCACUGCUUGGAGCCGACCCCGCACCAGCUCCAGCUCCCUUCCUUGGCUGCAGGGUCUUCUUUGGAGUGAGGGUCGGCCCUCUCGGCGCCUCAGGGAGCGCAGGGCCCUUCGGAGGCAAGUGGUGUGGGGGCCUCUCCCAUGUGGGGGGCUCUGUUAGACCUCCUUCCUUCCUCUUCUCGUUGGCGGCGAGGCUGGAGGGUGUGCUCUUUCCAGACCCUUCUCUCUCACGUGUCUGAACAGUCAGAGGAAGCGGC